GGACAUCCCAAAGAAGCCUGAAUGCUUGUUUUUGGAUGAGCUUGCUGACUACUGUAACUCAUUCAUUAACCAGCUUUUCAGGUAGGGAACC
This is a microRNA precursor of Gallus gallus (chicken), 91 nucleotides long. NCBI's taxonomy places the organism in Eukaryota, Metazoa, Chordata, Aves, Galliformes, Phasianidae. The record is from Ensembl.